This is a non-coding RNA of Xiphophorus hellerii (green swordtail), 784 nucleotides long. NCBI's taxonomy places the organism in Eukaryota, Metazoa, Chordata, Actinopteri, Cyprinodontiformes, Poeciliidae. The record is from the annotation of a RefSeq genome assembly.
AAAUAGUUUUUGCAUUUAAACAUAAUAGAAGCUGAAUUGUUAAACAAUGUUGCACAAGAUGGAAAGUAACUCUUGAUUCUCAUUAGUGAUAAACCAAAAAUAUUCUCUAAAUUAUGAAGCAAUUUAAAGCUGAAUUAAUGUUAAAUGAUUUGCAGAUUAAAUACAGUUUAAACUGGGAUUUUUAUGACUUUAAUAAACAUAAUUUCAGCAGCUAGAUGUCUACUGACAGUGCAGGAGGUUUUUGUACGGCCUCUCAAUGAGUUUGUAUCACUGUGGGUCACUUUUGGUGGAGGAACCAAACUCGUCGUUGACUUGGGUGUGUUGCGGCCCACCCUGACCGUCCUCCCCCCCUCCAAAGAGCAGCAGCAGCAGCAGAGCAGCGUCACACUGGUGUGUCUGGCCAGCGGGGGCUUCCCCUCCACCUGGACGCUGGGCUGGAAGGUGGGGGGCAGCAGCAGGUCCUCAGGGGUGUCUAGCAGCCUGGAGGUGCUGGGGGGGGACGGCCGCUACAGCUGGAGCAGCACCCUGAGCCUCCCUGCAGACCAGUGGAGGAAGGCGGGCUCAGUGAGCUGUGAGGCCAAUCAGAGUGGACAGAGUCCUGUCACUCAAACCCUGGAGCCUGACCGCUGCUCAGAGUAGAGCUGCAGCUUCAUGGCUGGAAACCAUCAUGUUGUCGUGUUUUAUUCACAAACAUUACUUUUCACCUUUCAUUCGUCUUCCUUAUGUUCUCUCAUGUAACUUGGAGUAAAUGGAUUGUUUCAAUAAAAGUGCAGAUUUAUGUCAA